Molecule: ribosomal RNA, 403 nt
Filed under: Bacillota bacterium
Lineage: Bacteria; Bacillati; Bacillota
Description: Firmicutes bacterium partial 16S ribosomal RNA
Rfam family: Bacterial small subunit ribosomal RNA
Source: RNAcentral
UGGGGGAUAUUGCACAAUGGGGGAAACCCUGAUGCAGCGACGCCGCGUGAGGGAAGAAGGUUUUCGGAUUGUAAACCUCUGUCUUCGGUGACGAAAAUGACGGUAGCCGAGGAGGAAGCCACGGCUAACUACGUGCCAGCAGCCGCGGUAAUACGUAGGUGGCAAGCGUUGUCCGGAAUUACUGGGUGUAAAGGGAGCGUAGGCGGGAGAGCAAGUCGAUUGUCUAAACUAUGGGCUCAACCCAUAGUCGCGAUCGAAACUGUUUUUCUUGAGUGAAGUAGAGGUAAGCGGAAUUCCUAGUGUAGCGGUGAAAUGCGUAAAUAUUAGGAGGAACACCAGUGGCGAAGGCGGCUUACUGGGCUUUAACUGACGCUGAGGCUCGAAAGCGUGGGUAGCAAACAGG